This 229-nucleotide ribosomal RNA is filed under the name uncultured bacterium. RNAcentral describes it as "partial 16S ribosomal RNA". It matches the Rfam family "Bacterial small subunit ribosomal RNA", at positions 568 to 796 of the family's 1533-position model. The record is from RNAcentral.
UGCGUAGGCGGACUAAUAAGUCAGUGGUGAAAUCUCUCGGCUCAACCGGGAAACUGCCAUUGAUACUGUUAGUCUUGAGUUCGGUUGAGGUAGGCGGAAUGUGUAAUGUAGCGGUGAAAUGCCUAGAUAUUACACAGAACACCAAUUGCGUAGGCAGCUUACUAGACCGACACUGACGCUGAGGCACGAAAGCGUGGGUAGCGAACAGGAUUAGAUACCCUGGUAGUCC